AAGUCGUAACAAGGUUUCCGUAGGUGAACCUGCGGAAGGAUCAUUACUGAGUUCAUGCCCUUACGGGUAGAUCUCCCACCCUUGAAUAUCUAAACCUUUGUUGCUUUGGCGGGCCGCUUCGGCUACCGGCUCCGGCUGGUGAGUGCCCGCCAGAGAACCUUAAACUCUGAAUUACAGUGUCGUCCGAGUACUAUAAAAUAGUUAAAACUUUCAACAACGGAUCUCUUGGUUCUG
RNAcentral lists this unclassified non-coding RNA (234 nucleotides) under fungal sp. RNAcentral's name for it is "partial internal transcribed spacer region". The stretch from base 1 to 46 matches the Rfam family "Eukaryotic small subunit ribosomal RNA", at positions 1786 to 1831 of the family's 1831-position model. The record is from RNAcentral. Lineage: Eukaryota; Fungi.